ACCCAUAGCACCCCAUUCCUUGCUGCAAUGUAAUUAUAUUUAAUUACAAGUGUGCUCCUGGUGGUCUUUAACUGAAGGGCACUGACUGGGUCACCGGUGAAGUUCUCCGCAGGAACUGAGUCAGACCCCAUCUCAGGGCCCUGCACAAAAUAGGUGCCUGCUCUAAGGCGUGGACCCUCGCGACAGCCCUGGCCCGUCUUGACGGGCGACGGUUACUGUACUUGUCCCAACCGUACAGAUGAGAAAGCUGAGACUCAGGGCGAGCAACCCCGGUCCCAGCGGAGCGCCCGGCACGCGCCGACAAUUCAGCACCAGCAGCGGUGGCCACCACUGUGCGCGGAGAUGGCUGCGACGCGUGCGCAGAUCUCGAUCCCAAACUCCCUCCUGCCAGAAUCUGGACCCGAAUCCACGCAUUGCCCAUUUUCCUCUGCCGCUGGAGAGAAUCUCUGAGGUCCCCAGGACAGCCUGCCUGCACGGAAGAGAUGCCCCCUCAAUUAAAUGCUGUUUUCCAUGACUGUCUCUGUUCUUCCCAUAGGCGAAUGGCAGGCAUCCAGAUCUCCAAGAACAGAGGAUUAGGAGAGACUCCACCACCUAUAUCCUCACAGUUAAUUAUCGAUUUGUGUCAGUUGCCCAUUUUCUCACUUCCUGUUUGUGUGUCAAGGAGUAUUAAUAAAUCUUUGCCUAUUUAAAGAUAUUAGCCUUUGAUUUUCAAGUAUUGCAUAUUUUGACAUGUAAAAAUUUGUUAGUUUUAUUUUUUCAACAGAUCUGACCUAUAUAGUUGGGCUUGAGGAAGCUUCCUCAUUCUACAUGUUACUAUGGAUUUUCUAAUAUUAACACAGAGUUGUAUUUUUUCCAUAUAACUUUCUAUUGAAUUUCUUUUUCCAUAUGAUAGGUGGUGAAGGUUUAGCCCAGUAAAGCAGAGAGGUUAAGAAGUUAGAAUGGGGGCUCUGGAUCCAGACCUGUGUAGAUCUGAGUCCUGGCUCUGGCACUUGAAAGCCGUGUGACCUUGGUUAAGAUACUUAGCCCCUCUCUGCUAAAUGGAGAAAUAAGGGCACCUACCCCAUAGGGUAGUUGUGUGAUUACACAAGUUAAUACACUUCAAUCACUAGCAAGAAAGUGAAUGUCAAGCUGUAUUUGUUCAGGCAGCCAUAUGGUAGCCCCACCUCAUUAGUAAACUGAGGUAUUGAAGUAUCUUCUUUUUCUUUCAGAAAAUAUUUGUCAAGCACCUUCUGUGUUCUAAGAACUGUUCUAGAGCUUUGCAUGCUAUGGAGGUCUAGAAAUUCACAUUAUGGUGGCAGGUGACAGACAAUACAAAGAGAUAAAGCAAUUUCAUAUAGUGAUAAGCUAGGGAGGAGUGCUAAAAGGAGCCAAGGUGUAGUGGUGACUGGAAGGUGACCAGAGAAACCGCUGUAGGGUUUCUAAGUGAUGAGAUCUGUGACAAAUCCCUGUGGUCAGCAGCGGGCAUUGGAUAUGUAACUUUAUUCUGUCCCAUUGAUCUUGUAGUCAACCCUGGUCUGUUCUGUAUUGUUUUAAUUACAUAAUCUUUGUAAUAAUCUUUAA
This 1560-nucleotide long non-coding RNA is filed under the name Pongo abelii (Sumatran orangutan). RNAcentral's name for it is "lincRNA". Lineage: Eukaryota; Metazoa; Chordata; Mammalia; Primates; Hominidae. The record is from RNAcentral.